UAAGACGGAGGGCGCAAGCGUUGUUCGGAAUUACUGGGCGUAAAGGGCAGGUAGGUGGUCUGUUAAGUCUUCUGUGAAAAUCCGGGGCUCAACCCCGCGAAAUGCAGGUGAAACUGGCAGACUGGAGACCGGUAGAGGCUAGCGGAAUUCCUGGUGUAGCGGUGGAAUGCGUAGAUAUCAGGAAGAACACCUGUGGCGAAGGCGGCUAGCUGGGCCGGUUCUGACACUAAACUGCGAAAGCGUGGGGAGCAAACAGGAUUAGAUACCCUGGUAGUCCACGCCGUAAACGAUGGGCACUAGAUGCUGGGCAUAUAGACGUGUUCAGUGUCGUCGCUAACGCAUUAAGUGCCCCGCCUGGGGAGUACGGUCGCAAGGCUG
This 378-nucleotide ribosomal RNA is filed under the name uncultured Gemmatimonadota bacterium. RNAcentral describes it as "bacterial SSU rRNA". It matches the Rfam family "Bacterial small subunit ribosomal RNA", at positions 521 to 896 of the family's 1533-position model. The record is from RNAcentral. Lineage: Bacteria; Pseudomonadati; Gemmatimonadota.